CCUACGGGUGGCAGCAGUGAGGAAUAUUGGUCAAUGGGCGCUAGCCUGAACCAGCCAAGCCGCGUGAAGGAUGACUGCCCUAUGGGUUGUAAACUUCUUUUAUAUGGGAACAAAGUGCAGUAUGUAUACCGCUUUGCGUGUACCUUAUGAAUAAGGAUCGGCUAACUCCGUGCCAGCAGCCGCGGUAAUACGGAGGAUCCGAGCGUUAUCCGGAUUUAUUGGGUUUAAAGGGAGCGUAGGCGGGUUGUUAAGUCAGCUGUGAAAGUUGGCGGCUCAACCGUAACAAUGCAGUUGAUACUGGCAGCCUUGAGUACAGGAGAGGUAGGCGGAAUUCGCGGUGUAGCGGCGAAAUGCUUAGAUAUCGCGAAGAACUCCGAUUGCGAAGGCAGCCUGCUGGACUGUAACUGACGCUGAGGCUCGAAAGUGUGGGUAUCGAACAGGAUUAGAUACCCCUGUAGUC
RNAcentral lists this ribosomal RNA (460 nucleotides) under uncultured bacterium. RNAcentral's name for it is "partial 16S ribosomal RNA". It matches the Rfam family "Bacterial small subunit ribosomal RNA", at positions 338 to 795 of the family's 1533-position model. The record is from RNAcentral.